This 379-nucleotide unclassified non-coding RNA is filed under the name fungal sp. RNAcentral's name for it is "partial internal transcribed spacer region". The record is from RNAcentral. Lineage: Eukaryota; Fungi.
AAGUUGUAACAAGGGUUCCGUGCGGAAGGAUCAUUAACACGUAUCCAAACGUUCAAACCCCCCCGGUGAACCUUCAUCCUGCUCUUGUAAUCCGCGUACUUCGCAAUCUCUGAUAAAUCAUAGCCCGGAAAGUUGUAGUGAUUCAGAGACCUCUGGCUACGUGCGAACAUUGGAACAGUUACAAUCGAGCGGUAGUUCUAUAGGCAAUGUUUCCCCAAGCAGUCAGUGUCGGAAAGUGUCCAUGAUUGUGCAAGGAUAGCGCUUCUACGAUUCCUGUAGACCGUACACUCGGGCAGGAGCUUUGCCAAAGGGUCCCCAUGCCUGUAAUACAUUGGGUAAAAAAACCGAACAACUGUUAACAAUGGAUAUCUUGGUUCUC